This 1148-nucleotide long non-coding RNA is filed under the name Citrus maxima (pomelo). RNAcentral's name for it is "long non-coding RNA (CMAX_LNC002721)". Lineage: Eukaryota; Viridiplantae; Streptophyta; Magnoliopsida; Sapindales; Rutaceae. The record is from RNAcentral.
AGUGGUCUUCCGUUAAAUAUUGGACUAGUACAUAUAUAUACGCUUUAUUUAUUUGCCGUAAUGUUCAUUUCUUCCUUCUGUAACCAAAGACUAUUUGUAUAUAUAAGUUCAUAAUAUGAACAUUAGGUAUAUCCAAGAAAUGAAACUAAACAUAAUUCAACAAAAACCAAAAUGAAAUGCUGCCCCCGAUCUCAAGAAAUCAACGUUACGUAAACCCACCCAGUGAACUUGCGGCUCCUUAUUUGUAUCUAGAAGUUCUUGAUUCCACCAUUUGAAGAAGAGAACAGUUAUUGUGUGAGCUCUGCUUUAUCCCACUUUGACACUUUUCUUUUCCAAAAUAUUAUAUUAAAAUCUAUUUGUUAAUACAUAUUUCUUUCCUGUCAAGAUUGAACCAAGUGCAAUUCACAGAGGUAUGCCUAUUCACACACAGCAAACAAACAAAAAGUGAAAUGGGUUAAUCGAAAUGGUAAAUUUUCGGUAUCUCCACUCUAAUGCUUAAGUCAAUAAAGGCCUUGAAUUCAAGUUAAGUGAUGAGGUUUUGUUUAGAUAAGUUUUUUCUUACCUUUUUCUCCAUCGUUUUCUCCUCAAAUACCUUUUAAAAAUGGAGUGUGUGCAUUCAGGAGCGGGGGUCGUGCUUCUAUUUUUGUGCACUUGAUGGUUUCAUAGUCAACUUCCUCAACUACCUCAUGGUUUAACUGCUCUCUCCACCGGUAAGCAUUAUCCUUACAUUUUAGGCUUGCCAACUCUGUGAUUUUUCACCAAUUCGUAGCCUCUGUUGAAAAUUGAUUAAAAAAAAAAAAGUGAUGAACAAUAAUACAAUUUGACCACGCGGUGAAUAGUAAUACGGUUUGACCACGCGGUGAACAGUAACGCAGCACGAAUAGUAACACGGUUUGAAUAAUGAUAUCCAUUUGGUUAUAAAUAAGAGAGCCUUUCAUAAGUUUUGAUCAUCCCAAAUUUGAGAAGCAAGAGAAUGCAAGAGAAGUAUUGAGAGCUUCCAACAUGGGAGAGAAAUAUUCUUAAGCAAGUAUAUACAUUGUAAGAGUAUUUGGCUCCUCAAUAUGAGUACUAUGUGUUUGCUUUGUUAAGGGAUAUUUCUCAAGAUCAUGUAUUUGGGAUUUGGAUGAGAGAAAAUUAUUUUUAAAAAU